RNAcentral lists this ribosomal RNA (440 nucleotides) under uncultured bacterium. RNAcentral's name for it is "partial 16S ribosomal RNA". It matches the Rfam family "Bacterial small subunit ribosomal RNA", at positions 338 to 795 of the family's 1533-position model. The record is from RNAcentral.
CCUACGGGAGGCAGCAGUGGGGAAUAUUGCACAAUGGGGGAAACCCUGAUGCAGCGACGCCGCGUGAGUGAAGAAGUAAUUCGGUAUGUAAAGCUCUAUCAGCAGGGAAGAAAAUGACGGUACCUGAGUAAGAAGCCCCGGCUAACUACGUGCCAGCAGCCGCGGUAAUACGUAGGGGGCAAGCGUUAUCCGGAUUUACUGGGUGUAAAGGGAGCGUAGACGGCAGUGCAAGUCUGGAGUGAAAGGCGGGGGCUCAACCCCCGGACUGCUCUGGAAACUGUACGGCUGGAGUGCAGGAGAGGUAAGUGGAAUGCGUAGUGUAGCGGUGAAAUGCGUAGAUAUUAGGAGGAACACCAGUGGCGAAGGCGGCUUACUGGACUGUAACUGACGUUGAGGCUCGAAAGCGUGGGGAGCAAACAGGAUUAGAUACCCUUGUAGUC